This 521-nucleotide ribosomal RNA is filed under the name uncultured Acidobacteriota bacterium. Its description in RNAcentral is "bacterial SSU rRNA". It matches the Rfam family "Bacterial small subunit ribosomal RNA", at positions 385 to 896 of the family's 1533-position model. Lineage: Bacteria; Pseudomonadati; Acidobacteriota. The record is from RNAcentral.
GACGACGCAACGCCGCGUGGAGGACGAAGAUCUUCGGGCCGUAAACUCCUGUCGAGCGGAACGAACGCCUCGCGGAUGAACAAUCCGCGGGGGUGACGGUACCGCUAAAGGAAGCCCCGGCUAACUCCGUGCCAGCAGCCGCGGUAAUACGGGGGGGGCAAGCGUUGUUCGGAAUUACUGGGCGUAAAGGGCUCGUAGGUGGCCAACUAAGUCAGACGUGAAAUCCCCAGGCUCAACUUGGGAACCGCGUCUGAUACUGGAUGGCUUGAAUUCGGGAGAGGGAUGCAGAAUUCCAGGUGUAGCGGUGAAAUGCGUAGAUAUCUGGAGGAAUACCGGUGGCGAAGGCGGCAUCCUGGACCGAGAUUGACACUGAGGAGCGAAAGCCAGGGGAGCAAACGGGAUUAGAUACCCCGGUAGUCCUGGCCCUAAACGAUGAAUGCUUGGUGUGACGGGUAUCGAUCCCUGUCGUGCCGAAGCUAACGCAUUAAGCAUUCCGCCUGGGGAGUACGGUCGCAAGACUG